AUGCCGCGGCUACAAGAUCGGAUCUGGGAGAUUUCUGAUCAGCUGGAUCUCAACGAUGAAGAGUUUGCUGAUGUUGAGAUUGAUGAGGACGACCCUGAGAUCCAGGAAAGCGUUCAUUGGCUUGCCCUUGCAAGGGUUCAUACAAACAAAAACUUCAGCCCUUCGGCCUUUUACAAGGAUAUGAGGGCCGCGUGGAAUCCGGCGCAAAGUGUUAGAUUUCGGCCAGUCGGACCUAAUCGUUUUGUCGUCCAAGCAUCCUGCUUGGGGGAUUGGGAACGCAUCAUGUUUCAGGUUUCGUGGUUGUUUCGUAAUAUGGCGGUGCUCUUGUGCCCGUAUGAUGGUUUCAGCAAAGCAGAGGAGGUAGAAUUCCAUCACUUGCCAAUUUGGCUGCAAAUCCACAAGCUGUCGGACCCGUACUGCAAGUAG
This 426-nucleotide ribosomal RNA is filed under the name Triticum aestivum (bread wheat). RNAcentral's name for it is "partial small subunit ribosomal RNA". Lineage: Eukaryota; Viridiplantae; Streptophyta; Magnoliopsida; Poales; Poaceae. The record is from RNAcentral.